Molecule: ribosomal RNA, 431 nt
Filed under: uncultured bacterium
Lineage: Bacteria
Description: bacterial SSU rRNA
Rfam family: Bacterial small subunit ribosomal RNA
Source: RNAcentral
GUGGGGAAUAUUGCGCAAUGGGCGAAAGCCUGACGCAGCAACGCCGUGUGAGUGAUGAAGGCCCUCGGGUCGUAAAGCUCUGUCGGAAGGGAAGAUGGUGUCGUUGGUUAAUAACCAACGGGAUUGACGGUACCUUUAAAGGAAGCACCGGCUAACUCUGUGCCAGCAGCCGCGGUAAGACAGAGGGUGCAAGCGUUGUUCGGAAUCAUUGGGCGUAAAGCGCGCGUAGGCGGUUUCGUAAGUCGGAUGUGAAAGCCCACGGCUCAACCGUGGAAGUGCAUCCGAAACUGCAGAACUUGAGUCCCGGAGAGGGUGGUGGAAUUCCUGGUGUAGAGGUGAAAUUCGUAGAUAUCAGGAGGAACACCCGUGGCGAAGGCGACCACCUGGACGGUGACUGACGCUGAGGUGCGAAAGCGUGGGGAGCAAACAGG